GACGAACGCUGGCGGCGUGCUUAACACAUGCAAGUCGAACGGAAAGGCCCUGCUUUUGUGGGGUGCUCGAGUGGCGAACGGGUGAGUAACACGUGAGUAACCUGCCCUUGACUUUGGGAUAACUUCAGGAAACUGGGGCUAAUACCGGAUAGGAUCUCCUGCUGCAUGGUGGGGGUUGGAAAGUUUCGGCGGUUGGGGAUGGACUCGCGGCUUAUCAGCUUGUUGGUGGGGUAGUGGCUUACCAAGGCUUUGACGGGUAGCCGGCCUGAGAGGGUGACCGGCCACAAUGGGACUGAGAUACGGCCCAGACUCCUACGGGAGGCAGCAGUGGGGAAUAUUGCACAAUGGGCGGAAGCCUGAUGCAGCAACGCCGCGUGCGGGAUGACGGCCUUCGGGCUGUAAACCGCUUUAGCCUGUGACGAAGCGUGAGUGACGGUAAUGGGUAAAGAAGCACCGGCUAACUACGUG
RNAcentral lists this ribosomal RNA (468 nucleotides) under uncultured bacterium. RNAcentral describes it as "partial 16S ribosomal RNA". It matches the Rfam family "Bacterial small subunit ribosomal RNA", at positions 28 to 507 of the family's 1533-position model. The record is from RNAcentral.